Molecule: long non-coding RNA, 602 nt
Organism: Heterocephalus glaber (naked mole-rat)
Lineage: Eukaryota; Metazoa; Chordata; Mammalia; Rodentia; Bathyergidae
Source: Ensembl
UGGCGAUCCUCUGUGGAUGCGGACAGACCAGGACGCCCAGGAACCGUCCUGUAUGCUGAUGAAGGCAGUGUCUUGGCCACUCGGAAAAUGCACUUGAAAUGUCUUAGAAGACACCCAGACCACAUGCACUAUCUGCCUGCCCGGGUUGUCAUGCGGUCUUUCUGUCUCAGUGGGUCCAUGAAAACAGGAAAUAUCGCCAAACAGUGCAAAUGAUAAUAGCAAAAAAGAAGAAGAGAGUGAAUUAUGUUUAUCCUCCUUGGGAGUUCUAUGGGGGCACCAAAAACCUAGGGUUGAUAUUUUUUCUGGAGAACUAAUUACGGCCGUCGAAGGACCCAGUCAUGGGAGGGCACAUUCAUCAUUAGACAGUGAGUCAUCCUGAGCAGAAGUGCGCCUGGACGAAGAGAAGGCAUUGCUAAACACAAGCACUGUGCUUCUGUGGCUGUGGAUUCACUAAGCCGCUCCCAGUGUCCUGUGAAGAGACAGAGGCCUCUGCAGCCGCUGAGAAAUAGGUUCUUCUCUUCCUGGCCCUGAAGACUUUAAACCCUAUUGUAAACUUCAGCUUCCUUGUCGGUAAAAUGAAAAUAAAAAAGCCUGCCACACCC